Molecule: ribosomal RNA, 406 nt
Filed under: uncultured bacterium
Lineage: Bacteria
Description: bacterial SSU rRNA
Rfam family: Bacterial small subunit ribosomal RNA
Source: RNAcentral
GACGAACGCUGGCGGCGUGCUUAACACAUGCAAGUCGAACGAAAGGACGGGAAGAGCUUGCUCUUUCCGGAAUUGAGUGGCAAACGGGUGAGUAACACGUAAACAACCUGCCUUCAGGAUGGGGACAACAGACGGAAACGACUGCUAAUACCGAAUAAGUUCCAAGAGCCGCAUGGCCCAUGGAAGAAAGGUGGCCUCUACCUGUAAGCUAUCGCCUGAAGAGGGGUUUGCGUCUGAUUAGGCAGUUGGUGAGGUAACGGCCCACCAAACCUACGAUCAGUAGCCGGUCUGAGAGGAUGAACGGCCACACUGGAACUGAGACACGGUCCAGACUCCUACGGGAGGCAGCAGUGGGGAAUCUUCCGCAAUGGGCGAAAGCCUGACGGAGCAACGCCGCGUGAGUGAU